GCAGUAAGCCAUGCUUUAGCCUCUGACCUGUGCUCCAAUUUUGGUACAAUGAUUUCUGCCAUGUUCUCCAACAGGGUGAGGAAACAGACAGCACUAAGAGAAAAAGCUGGAACUCAAAACCAAAUUAACUCCAAACUUAAGUUUUCCCACUUCGACAAGGUGUGUGUAUGUACGUAGUAAAGAGAUCACGGAGUUCCCUUUCCAGUGAAAUUUUUAUUUGUACGGAUGCAUGUGUAUGUAGGCAUAUGCGCACACAAACACACACAUACACUUUAGUUAAAUCAAUUUCAUAUGCAAAAGAAAAGUGAGCCAGGGCUAAGUUAUUAAAAGAAGCCUUUGAAGCAGAGAGUGAUGAUGUGUGAAAGACAUACAACAAAAGUUUAUUUAAACAAAGAACAAGCACAGAGGGAUGGGACAAAAGUGAAAAUAAGA
Homo sapiens (human) is the source of this 432-nucleotide long non-coding RNA. Ensembl annotates it as NFIA antisense RNA 1. Its record names the gene NFIA-AS1. The record is from Ensembl. Lineage: Eukaryota; Metazoa; Chordata; Mammalia; Primates; Hominidae.